GGGUUGUGAGGUUAAGCGACUAAGCGUACACGGUGGAUGCCCUGGCAGUCAGAGGCGAUGAAGGACGUGCUAAUCUGCGAUAAGCGUCGGUAAGGUGAUAUGAACCGUUAUAACCGGCGAUUUCCGAAUGGGGAAACCCAGUGUGUUUCGACACACUAUCAUUAACUGAAUCCAUAGGUUAAUGAGGCGAACCGGGGGAACUGAAACAUCUAAGUACCCCGAGGAAAAGAAAUCAACCGAGAUUCCCCCAGUAGCGGCGAGCGAACGGGGAGCAGCCCAGAGCCUGAAUCAGUGUGUGUGUUAGUGGAAGCGUCUGGAAAGGCGCGCGAUACAGGGUGACAGCCCCGUACACAAAAAUGCACAUGCUGUGAGCUCGAUGAGUAGGGCGGGACACGUGGUAUCCUGUCUGAAUAUGGGGGGACCAUCCUCCAAGGCUAAAUACUCCUGACUGACCGAUAGUGAACCAGUACCGUGAGGGAAAGGCGAAAAGAACCCCGGCGAGGGGAGUGAAAAAGAACCUGAAACCGUGUACGUACAAGCAGUGGGAGCACGCUUAGGCGUGUGACUGCGUACCUUUUGUAUAAUGGGUCAGCGACUUAUAUUCUGUAGCAAGGUUAACCGAAUAGGGGAGCCGAAGGGAAACCGAGUCUUAACUGGGCGUUAAGUUGCAGGGUAUAGACCCGAAACCCGGUGAUCUAGCCAUGGGCAGGUUGAAGGUUGGGUAACACUAACUGGAGGACCGAACCGACUAAUGUUGAAAAAUUAGCGGAUGACUUGUGGCUGGGGGUGAAAGGCCAAUCAAACCGGGAGAUAGCUGGUUCUCCCCGAAAGCUAUUUAGGUAGCGCCUCGUGAAUUCAUCUCCGGGGGUAGAGCACUGUUUCGGCAAGGGGGUCAUCCCGACUUACCAACCCGAUGCAAACUGCGAAUACCGGAGAAUGUUAUCACGGGAGACACACGGCGGGUGCUAACGUCCGUCGUGAAGAGGGAAACAACCCAGACCGCCAGCUAAGGUCCCAAAGUCAUGGUUAAGUGGGAAACGAUGUGGGAAGGCCCAGACAGCCAGGAUGUUGGCUUAGAAGCAGCCAUCAUUUAAAGAAAGCGUAAUAGCUCACUGGUCGAGUCGGCCUGCGCGGAAGAUGUAACGGGGCUAAACCAUGCACCGAAGCUGCGGCAGCGACGCUUAUGCGUUGUUGGGUAGGGGAGCGUUCUGUAAGCCUGCGAAGGUGUGCUGUGAGGCAUGCUGGAGGUAUCAGAAGUGCGAAUGCUGACAUAAGUAACGAUAAAGCGGGUGAAAAGCCCGCUCGCCGGAAGACCAAGGGUUCCUGUCCAACGUUAAUCGGGGCAGGGUGAGUCGACCCCUAAGGCGAGGCCGAAAGGCGUAGUCGAUGGGAAACAGGUUAAUAUUCCUGUACUUGGUGUUACUGCGAAGGGGGGACGGAGAAGGCUAUGUUGGCCGGGCGACGGUUGUCCCGGUUUAAGCGUGUAGGCUGGUUUUCCAGGCAAAUCCGGAAAAUCAAGGCUGAGGCGUGAUGACGAGGCACUACGGUGCUGAAGCAACAAAUGCCCUGCUUCCAGGAAAAGCCUCUAAGCAUCAGGUAACAUCAAAUCGUACCCCAAACCGACACAGGUGGUCAGGUAGAGAAUACCAAGGCGCUUGAGAGAACUCGGGUGAAGGAACUAGGCAAAAUGGUGCCGUAACUUCGGGAGAAGGCACGCUGAUAUGUAGGUGAAGUCCCUCGCGGAUGGAGCUGAAAUCAGUCGAAGAUACCAGCUGGCUGCAACUGUUUAUUAAAAACACAGCACUGUGCAAACACGAAAGUGGACGUAUACGGUGUGACGCCUGCCCGGUGCCGGAAGGUUAAUUGAUGGGGUUAGCGCAAGCGAAGCUCUUGAUCGAAGCCCCGGUAAACGGCGGCCGUAACUAUAACGGUCCUAAGGUAGCGAAAUUCCUUGUCGGGUAAGUUCCGACCUGCACGAAUGGCGUAAUGAUGGCCAGGCUGUCUCCACCCGAGACUCAGUGAAAUUGAACUCGCUGUGAAGAUGCAGUGUACCCGCGGCAAGACGGAAAGACCCCGUGAACCUUUACUAUAGCUUGACACUGAACAUUGAGCCUUGAUGUGUAGGAUAGGUGGGAGGCUUUGAAGUGUGGACGCCAGUCUGCAUGGAGCCGACCUUGAAAUACCACCCUUUAAUGUUUGAUGUUCUAACGUGGACCCGUGAUCCGGGUUGCGGACAGUGUCUGGUGGGUAGUUUGACUGGGGCGGUCUCCUCCUAAAGAGUAACGGAGGAGCACGAAGGUUGGCUAAUCCUGGUCGGACAUCAGGAGGUUAGUGCAAUGGCAUAAGCCAGCUUGACUGCGAGCGUGACGGCGCGAGCAGGUGCGAAAGCAGGUCAUAGUGAUCCGGUGGUUCUGAAUGGAAGGGCCAUCGCUCAACGGAUAAAAGGUACUCCGGGGAUAACAGGCUGAUACCGCCCAAGAGUUCAUAUCGACGGCGGUGUUUGGCACCUCGAUGUCGGCUCAUCACAUCCUGGGGCUGAAGUAGGUCCCAAGGGUAUGGCUGUUCGCCAUUUAAAGUGGUACGCGAGCUGGGUUUAGAACGUCGUGAGACAGUUCGGUCCCUAUCUGCCGUGGGCGCUGGAGAACUGAGGGGGGCUGCUCCUAGUACGAGAGGACCGGAGUGGACGCAUCACUGGUGUUCGGGUUGUCAUGCCAAUGGCACUGCCCGGUAGCUAAAUGCGGAAGAGAUAAGUGCUGAAAGCAUCUAAGCACGAAACUUGCCCCGAGAUGAGUUCUCCCUGACCCUUUAAGGGUCCUGAAGGAACGUUGAAGACGACGACGUUGAUAGGCCGGGUGUGUAAGCGCAGCGAUGCGUUGAGCUAACCGGUACUAAUGAACCGUGAGGCUUAACCUUACAACGCCGAAG
This 2925-nucleotide ribosomal RNA is filed under the name Escherichia coli. RNAcentral describes it as "23S ribosomal RNA". It matches the Rfam family "Bacterial large subunit ribosomal RNA". The record is from RNAcentral. Lineage: Bacteria; Pseudomonadati; Pseudomonadota; Gammaproteobacteria; Enterobacterales; Enterobacteriaceae.